GACAAACGCUCUUCCACGCGCCGACUCAACGAACGGUUGUCGUCCUCCACCUCAGCACCACCGGAGUUAAAAAAUAAUCUGCGAAAUCAAAGAAAAGAAGGAAAAAUCCUUAAAAGUGAGUUCUAACCCAGCAGAUGGAGAUCCUCAACGUCAACACGUCGCCGGAAAUCAAUUCCAGACACAUUUCGCUAUCUAAAGGCCGUUGGCUGCGUUAUCGAUAACAAAACAACCCAGGAUCGCGGUGCCCUCGCUGUCCUACCUCAAAUCCGGAUGAGGGAUGCGCCGUGGAAGAGGAAGAGCUGCCAGCGACGUCUCGGUGCCGAUGGCCACCGCGGCGAGGUGUGUCCGGAUACGGCAGCGCCGGUUCUUCCCUCCUCCGGCCGAUAUUGGGAAGGGAUUUGCACCGAUAUCCAGAAUCCGAAGCGGGAAAACUUGAGGAGAAGGAAAUUCCAACGCACGCCAAACCCGGAGCUGCCACAUCCUCUCCCAAAGCCGGAAAACCACCGGAACAACCCCCCCCGCCACCCGUGAAUUAAUUACUUUCGGACUAAUUAAGCUGCGAGUGGCAUAAUGAAGAAGCUCAACGCAAAC
Molecule: long non-coding RNA, 591 nt
Organism: Cuculus canorus (common cuckoo)
Lineage: Eukaryota; Metazoa; Chordata; Aves; Cuculiformes; Cuculidae
Exons: 3
Source: RefSeq, a predicted model, not a curated record